Non-coding RNA from Fimicolochytrium jonesii, 73 nucleotides. NCBI's taxonomy places the organism in Eukaryota, Fungi, Chytridiomycota, Chytridiomycetes, Spizellomycetales, Powellomycetaceae. The record is from the annotation of a RefSeq genome assembly.
AGCCUUGUGGCCUAAUGGUUAAGGCGUCUGUCUUCGGAACAGAAGAUUGGGAGUUCGAAUCUCUCCAGGGUCG